UACGUAGGGUGCAAGCGUUGUCCGGAAUUAUUGGGCGUAAAGAGCUCGUAGGCGGUCUGUCGCGUCUGCUGUGAAAACUCAGGGCUUAACCCUGAGCUUGCAGUGGGUACGGGCAGACUAGAGUGCGGUAGGGGAGACUGGAAUUCCUGGUGUAGCGGUGAAAUGCGCAGAUAUCAGGAGGAACACCGAUGGCGAAGGCAGGUCUCUGGGCGAUUAAACUGACG
This 224-nucleotide ribosomal RNA is filed under the name uncultured bacterium. Its description in RNAcentral is "partial 16S ribosomal RNA". It matches the Rfam family "Bacterial small subunit ribosomal RNA", at positions 524 to 745 of the family's 1533-position model. The record is from RNAcentral.